GGGGUUGUGGCUCAGUGGUAAAGCACUUGCCUAGCAUGUAUGAGGCACUGGGUUCGAUUCUCAGCACCACA
This 71-nucleotide transfer RNA is filed under the name Marmota monax (woodchuck). Its description in RNAcentral is "tRNA.Ala". It matches the Rfam family "tRNA". From Rfam's summary of the family: Transfer RNA (tRNA) molecules are approximately 80 nucleotides in length. Their secondary structure includes four short double-helical elements and three loops (D, anti-codon, and T loops). Lineage: Eukaryota; Metazoa; Chordata; Mammalia; Rodentia; Sciuridae. The record is from RNAcentral.